Molecule: ribosomal RNA, 497 nt
Filed under: uncultured bacterium
Lineage: Bacteria
Description: partial 16S ribosomal RNA
Rfam family: Bacterial small subunit ribosomal RNA
Source: RNAcentral
GAUGAACGCUGGCGGCGUGCCUAAUACAUGCAAGUCGAGCGAACGGACGAGAAGCUUGCUUCUCUGAUGUUAGCGGCGGACGGGUGAGUAACACGUGGAUAACCUACCUAUAAGACUGGGAUAACUUCGGGAAACCGGAGCUAAUACCGGAUGAUAUUUUGAACCGCAUGGUUCAAAAGUGAAAGACGGUCUUGCUGUCACUUAUAGAUGGAUCCGCGCUGCAUUAGCUAGUUGGUAAGGUAACGGCUUACCAAGGCAACGAUGCAUAGCCGACCUGAGAGGGUGAUCGGCCACACUGGAACUGAGACACGGUCCAGACUCCUACGGGAGGCAGCAGUAGGGAAUCUUCCGCAAUGGGCGAAAGCCUGACGGAGCAACGCCGCGUGAGUGAUGAAGGUCUUCGGAUCGUAAAACUCUGUUAUUAGGGAAGAACAUAUGUGUAAGUAACUGUGCACAUCUUGACGGUACCUAAUCAGAAAGCCAAGGAUAACUACGUG